GAAGCCGUGCCUGAAGUAAAGGGCCACUUUGAUAGAGUGAAUCAUGAGGGUUAGAGCCCCUCCAGCUUCU
RNAcentral lists this transfer RNA (70 nucleotides) under Epinephelus merra (honeycomb grouper). RNAcentral's name for it is "tRNA-Ile". It matches the Rfam family "tRNA". Rfam says of the family: Transfer RNA (tRNA) molecules are approximately 80 nucleotides in length. Their secondary structure includes four short double-helical elements and three loops (D, anti-codon, and T loops). Lineage: Eukaryota; Metazoa; Chordata; Actinopteri; Perciformes; Serranidae. The record is from RNAcentral.